This 148-nucleotide ribosomal RNA is filed under the name uncultured bacterium. RNAcentral's name for it is "partial 16S ribosomal RNA". It matches the Rfam family "Bacterial small subunit ribosomal RNA", at positions 384 to 524 of the family's 1533-position model. The record is from RNAcentral.
UGAUGCAGCCAUGCCGCGUGUAUGAAGAAGGCCUUCGGGUUGUAAAGUACUUUCAGCGAGGAGGAAGGCAUUGUGGUUAAUAACCACAGUGAUUGACGUUACUCGCAGAAGAAGCACCGGCUAACUCCGUGCCAGCAGCCGCGGUAAU